GACGAACGCUGGCGGCGUGCUUAACACAUGCAAGUCGAACGGAAAGGCCCUGCUUUUGUGGGGUGCUCGAGUGGCGAACGGGUGAGUAACACGUGAGUAACCUGCCCUUGACUUUGGGAUAACUUCAGGAAACUGGGGCUAAUACCGGAUAGGAGCUCCUGCUGCAUGGUGGGGGUGGGAAAGUUUCGGCGGUUGGGGAUGGACGCGCGGCUUAUCAGCUUGUUGGUGGGGUAGUGGCUUACCAAGGCUUUGACGGGUAGCCGGCCUGAGAGGGUGACCGGCCACAUUGGGACUGAGAUACGGCCCAGACUCCUACGGGCGGCCGCAGUGGGGACUCUUGCCCCAUGGGCGGCAGCCUGAUGCAGCAACGCCGCGUGCGGGAUGACGGCCUUCGGGUUGUAAACCGCUUUCGCCUGUGCCGCCGCGUGCGUGCCGGUCCUGGGUCAAGAGGCCCCGGCUCCCUACGUG
This 468-nucleotide ribosomal RNA is filed under the name uncultured bacterium. Its description in RNAcentral is "partial 16S ribosomal RNA". It matches the Rfam family "Bacterial small subunit ribosomal RNA", at positions 28 to 507 of the family's 1533-position model. The record is from RNAcentral.